ACAGGACUAAUAACGCUAAACAAAACGUGUUCUCCUCAUCCUACUCUGGAGGAGUAGGCUACGACAGCCUGGAGGUCUUUAUUUGGACGAAAUCGGGAUUUGUGGAUAAUAUUUAUCUUUGGAGUCUACCGGUUUGUCUUCACUAGCAGGGACUGCCUGAGCCUAAUGCAGUCAUUAUUCUGUGAAUAAUCUUCACCCUCUGAAAGCUGGAGGGGGCAGUUCGUACUCUCCAGCGGGACGGACGUCAGACUCUGGCCGUGUGACAGGGAUCCACACGCCUCCACUGUCACCGUCCAGCCCGCCCUCAUACGGCGUGUCGUAGAUGUUUGGAGGCGCGGGCUUUCCCUCU
Molecule: long non-coding RNA, 349 nt
Organism: Centropristis striata (black sea bass)
Lineage: Eukaryota; Metazoa; Chordata; Actinopteri; Perciformes; Serranidae
Exons: 4
Source: RefSeq, a predicted model, not a curated record